This 852-nucleotide ribosomal RNA is filed under the name uncultured Alteromonas sp. Its description in RNAcentral is "bacterial SSU rRNA". It matches the Rfam family "Bacterial small subunit ribosomal RNA", at positions 62 to 909 of the family's 1533-position model. Lineage: Bacteria; Pseudomonadati; Pseudomonadota; Gammaproteobacteria; Alteromonadales; Alteromonadaceae. The record is from RNAcentral.
UCGAACGGUAACAUUUCUAGCUUGCUAGAAGAUGACGAGUGGCGGACGGGUGAGUAAUGCUUGGGAACUUGCCUUUGCGAGGGGGAUAACAGUUGGAAACGACUGCUAAUACCGCAUAAUGUCUUCGGACCAAACGGGGCUUCGGCUCCGGCGCAAAGAGAGGCCCAAGUGAGAUUAGCUAGUUGGUAAGGUAACGGCUUACCAAGGCGACGAUCUCUAGCUGUUCUGAGAGGAAGAUCAGCCACACUGGGACUGAGACACGGCCCAGACUCCUACGGGAGGCAGCAGUGGGGAAUAUUGCACAAUGGGGGAAACCCUGAUGCAGCCAUGCCGCGUGUGUGAAGAAGGCCUUCGGGUUGUAAAGCACUUUCAGUUGUGAGGAAAAGUUAGUAGUUAAUACCUGCUAGCCGUGACGUUAACAACAGAAGAAGCACCGGCUAACUCCGUGCCAGCAGCCGCGGUAAUACGGAGGGUGCGAGCGUUAAUCGGAAUUACUGGGCGUAAAGCGCACGCAGGCGGUUUGUUAAGCUAGAUGUGAAAGCCCCGGGCUCAACCUGGGAUGGUCAUUUAGAACUGGCAGACUAGAGUCUUGGAGAGGGGAGUGGAAUUCCAGGUGUAGCGGUGAAAUGCGUAGAUAUCUGGAGGAACAUCAGUGGCGAAGGCGACUCCCUGGCCAAAGACUGACGCUCAUGUGCGAAAGUGUGGGUAGCGAACAGGAUUAGAUACCCUGGUAGUCCACACCGUAAACGCUGUCUACUAGCUGUGUGUGUCUUUAAGACGUGCGUAGCGAAGCUAACGCGCUAAGUAGACCGCCUGGGGGAGUACGGCCGCAAGGUUUAAAACUCAAAUGAA